UGACUGGAUUUGGGUGUAACAAACCAUGGUCUAAUAUUAGGCCUCAACAACAUUGCCUCCUCCAUCUGCAGUCAAGGAAUUUUCACCAUGUUUUUUUCCUAAAGAUUAACUAAAAUUUAUAUAAAUUUGGAUACAGCUAAACUUUGGAUAAGCACAGGCUGCUGCUGUUAAUAGAAAUAAAUGCUCUUUAUAGUCUCUGUAGAUCAUACAUAUGGGAUCUGCAUAUAGGUAGAGAUUAAACUUGUAUCAUUUUAAUGCUGAGCAGACGUGAUAGAAAUCUGCCCAUCUCAGCAUACUUGUAAAAUAUCAUGGUUGCUACUCAAUUACUUUUCAACUACAGUUACUGUACUUAGCAACAUAAAAAUUUUCUGUCUCUUGUGUUUUUUGUAUUGAUCCUAAUUUCAUUUUCUUUAUAUUGCCUCAUGAGUUCUUAUUGUGUCUGCUUCUAGGUGGGCUUACAAUCUCAAAGUAGCUGUUUCUUUAACUGCUCAGAUUCUGAAAAUAAAUUAGCCUGGGACAUUUCUCUAAGAG
Molecule: long non-coding RNA, 531 nt
Organism: Candoia aspera
Lineage: Eukaryota; Metazoa; Chordata; Lepidosauria; Squamata; Candoiidae
Exons: 2
Source: RefSeq, a predicted model, not a curated record